AUUGAACGCUGGCGGCAUGCCUUACACAUGCAAGUCGAACGGCAGCGCGGACUUCGGUCUGGCGGCGAGUGGCGAACGGGUGAGUAAUACAUCGGAACGUACCCUGUUGUGGGGGAUAACUAGUCGACAGAUUAGCUAAUACCGCAUACGACCUGAGGGUGAAAGUGGGGGACCGCAAGGCCUCACGCCGCAGGAGCGGCCGAUGUCUGAUUAGCUAGUUGGUGGGGUAAAGGCCCACCAAGGCGACGAUCAGUAGCUAGUCUGAGAGGACGAUCAGCCACACUGGGACUGAGACACGGCCCAGACUCCUACGGGAGGCAGCAGUGGGGAAUUUUGGACAAUGGGGGCAACCCUGAUCCAGCAAUGCCGCGUGUGUGAAGAAGGCCUUCGGGUUGUAAAGCACUUUUGUCCGGAAAGAAAUCGCGCUGGUUAAUACCUGGCGUGGAUGACGGUACCGGAAGAAUAAGCACCGGCUAACUACGUG
This 484-nucleotide ribosomal RNA is filed under the name uncultured bacterium. Its description in RNAcentral is "partial 16S ribosomal RNA". It matches the Rfam family "Bacterial small subunit ribosomal RNA", at positions 30 to 507 of the family's 1533-position model. The record is from RNAcentral.